This 23-nucleotide non-coding RNA is filed under the name Arabidopsis thaliana (thale cress). The record is from RNAcentral. Lineage: Eukaryota; Viridiplantae; Streptophyta; Magnoliopsida; Brassicales; Brassicaceae.
AGCGCUUGUUUGGAGUUAGUAGC